MicroRNA precursor from Oryza rufipogon (brownbeard rice), 203 nucleotides. It matches the Rfam family "MIR812 microRNA precursor family". NCBI's taxonomy places the organism in Eukaryota, Viridiplantae, Streptophyta, Magnoliopsida, Poales, Poaceae. The record is from Rfam.
AAAAAGAUAAACCCUAGUUUCCGUGUCCAACGUUUGACCGUCCGUCUUAUUUGAAAAAAUUAUGAAAAAAAUUAAAAAGACAAGUCACGCAUAAAAUAUUAAUCAUGUUUUAUCAUCUAACAACAAUAAAAAUACAAAUUAUAAAAAAAUUAUAUAAGACGGACAGUUAAAAUUGGACACGAAAAUUCAGAAUUUGUCUUUUG